This is a long non-coding RNA of Oreochromis niloticus (Nile tilapia), 663 nucleotides long. RefSeq lists it as uncharacterized. The record is from RefSeq and is a predicted model, not a curated record. Lineage: Eukaryota; Metazoa; Chordata; Actinopteri; Cichliformes; Cichlidae. The transcript is spliced from 3 exons.
GAGACACAUAUUUAAUAUUUCUUUGGCAAAUCGAGUCUCAAGCCUUGCCCAGAAAAUGAGAUGACAGAGCAGUCUACGACAAGAAGCAACAGCAAAAGCAUGCUACCGCUAGCUGUGGACAAAGGGACAAAAGCAAAAGAAAAAAGGAGCUGAGUGGAGCAGAUGCUCAAAAGCUGCAUGAACUGCAUGCCCUUGCUGAAUGCUUAUAUGGUUUUACAACAGUAGGUGUCAGUAAUGCCUUAAGAUGAAAUGAGACCACCAUUAGAAGAAGAACAGCAAGCAAGAGGAGGAGAUGAGGAAGAAAAGGAUCUGAAAAAGGAGGCUGAGAGGAUUUUUCAAAGUCAUUAAGGUGAAAACAAACCUGUCAAGGUAGUUCACUAUGUUGGAGUUUUUGUUUUCCCUCAUCACCAAGAUCUCAUUGAUGAUCAACUCUUUCUUGGGCUGCUGCUGCAAGUUCAUCUGCUUAAUGGCCACCUGAGAAAACAGACAAGAUAUACUGGGUGUACAAUAAGUUCCCCUGAUGGUUCGUAAUUCAGCCAAGUUCCCCUCUGCCUCUGCCCCCCUGAAGUGGUCACUACAGCUCCCCAUCUCCUGCAGAGGCUGGCUGUUCCUGAAAUUGCUCUAUUUCAGUAACUGUGACGGCUGGUUGAUGAUCAUGGAAAG